Transfer RNA from Coniochaeta ligniaria NRRL 30616, 71 nucleotides. It matches the Rfam family "tRNA". From Rfam's summary of the family: Transfer RNA (tRNA) molecules are approximately 80 nucleotides in length. Their secondary structure includes four short double-helical elements and three loops (D, anti-codon, and T loops). Further hydrogen bonds mediate the characteristic L-shaped molecular structure. tRNAs have two regions of fundamental functional importance: the anti-codon, which is responsible for specific mRNA codon recognition, and the 3' end, to which the tRNAs corresponding amino acid is attached (by aminoacyl-tRNA synthetases). tRNAs cope with the degeneracy of the genetic code in two manners: having more than one tRNA (with a specific anti-codon) for a particular amino acid; and 'wobble' base-pairing, i.e. permitting non-standard base-pairing at the 3rd anti-codon position. The record is from Rfam. Lineage: Eukaryota; Fungi; Ascomycota; Sordariomycetes; Coniochaetales; Coniochaetaceae.
AUCUCUAUAGCUUAACAGUAGAGUAUAAUACUAUUAAUAUUAGGAUAGAAGUUCGAUUCUUCUUAGGGGCG